RNAcentral lists this long non-coding RNA (313 nucleotides) under Elaeis guineensis (African oil palm). RNAcentral describes it as "long non-coding RNA (EGUI_LNC056645)". The record is from RNAcentral. Lineage: Eukaryota; Viridiplantae; Streptophyta; Magnoliopsida; Arecales; Arecaceae.
UCGGCUCAAGAAACUUGACUCUCCAUUAGUUGAUUUCUCUAGAGACUCGCUACCAGUGGAGGGAAUAAUCACCCUUUUAGUCACAAUUGGUAACGAACCUCAAAAAGCAACUGCCAUGUUAAGCUUUUUGGUCAUCAAAGUUUCCUUAGCAUACAAUGCAAUCCUUGAUUGGCUUGGAUGAAGCAUGAUAGAAGCUGUGGUAUCUACUUACCACUUAUGAUCAGAUUCCCUAUUAGUAAUGAGUUGGCAAGGCUAGUGAUGAUUAGGUGGUGGCUCAAUAAUGCUAUAUGGCCAUCCUUUGGAAAACACCAAA